CUCUCGUGUUUUUUCAGUGUUUCUGACUGAGUGAAACUCUUUCCACAGUGUGAGCACUUGUAAGGUUUUUCUCCAGUAUGAAAUCUCUCGUGUUUUUUCAGGUGUUCUGACUGAGUGAAACUCUUUCCACAGUGUGAGCACUUGUAAGGUUUCCCUCCAGUAUGAAAUCUCUCGUGUUUUUUCAGGUGUUCUGACUGAGUGAAACUCUUUUCACAGUGUGAGCACUUGUAUGGUUUCUCUCCAGUAUGAAUUCUCUCAUGUGUUUUCAGGUUUACUGACUGAGUGAAACUCUUUCCACAGUGUGAGCACUUGUAAG
Molecule: long non-coding RNA, 316 nt
Organism: Myxocyprinus asiaticus (Chinese sucker)
Lineage: Eukaryota; Metazoa; Chordata; Actinopteri; Cypriniformes; Catostomidae
Exons: 3
Source: RefSeq, a predicted model, not a curated record